Molecule: ribosomal RNA, 589 nt
Filed under: Salmonella enterica
Lineage: Bacteria; Pseudomonadati; Pseudomonadota; Gammaproteobacteria; Enterobacterales; Enterobacteriaceae
Description: bacterial SSU rRNA
Rfam family: Bacterial small subunit ribosomal RNA
Source: RNAcentral
AAAUUGAAGAGUUUGAUCAUGGCUCAGAUUGAACGCUGGCGGCAGGCCUAACACAUGCAAGUCGAACGGUAACAGGAAGCAGCUUGCUGCUUCGCUGACGAGUGGCGGACGGGUGAGUAAUGUCUGGGAAACUGCCUGAUGGAGGGGGAUAACUACUGGAAACGGUGGCUAAUACCGCAUAACGUCGCAAGACCAAAGAGGGGGACCUUCGGGCCUCUUGCCAUCAGAUGUGCCCAGAUGGGAUUAGCUUGUUGGUGAGGUAACGGCUCACCAAGGCGACGAUCCCUAGCUGGUCUGAGAGGAUGACCAGCCACACUGGAACUGAGACACGGUCCAGACUCCUACGGGAGGCAGCAGUGGGGAAUAUUGCACAAUGGGCGCAAGCCUGAUGCAGCCAUGCCGCGUGUAUGAAGAAGGCCUUCGGGUUGUAAAGUACUUUCAGCGGGGAGGAAGGUGUUGCGGUUAAUAACCGCAGCAAUUGACGUUACCCGCAGAAGAAGCACCGGCUAACUCCGUGCCAGCAGCCGCGGUAAUACGGAGGGUGCAAGCGUUAAUCGGAAUUACUGGGCGUAAAGCGCACGCAGGCGGU